AAUGAACGUUGGCGGCGUGGAUUAGGCAUGCAAGUCGAGCGAGAAGCUUUCCUUCGGGAGAGCGGACAGCGGCGAAAGGGAGAGUAACAUGUGGGUCACCUACCCCUGAGUACGGGAUAGCUGCGGGAAACUGCAGGUAAUACCGUAUAACAUCUCAGGAUCAAAGCUCCGGCGCUUGGGGACGGGCCCGCAUACUAUUAGCUAGUUGGUAAGGUAAUGGCUUACCAAGGCGAAGAUGGUUACCGGGUGUGAGAGCAUGACCCGGCUCACUGGGACUGAGACACUGCCCAGACACCUCCGGGUGGCUGCAGUCGAGAAUCUUCGGCAAUGGACGAAAGUCUGACCGAGCGACGCCGCGUGCGGGAUGAAGGCCUUCGGGUUGUAAACCGCUGUCAGAGGGAAGGAAAUUUUGACCGAUCCUCAAAGGAAGUACGGGCUAAGUUCGUGCCAGCAGCCGCGGUAAGACGAACCGUACGAACGUUAUUCGGAAUCACUGGGCUUAAAG
RNAcentral lists this ribosomal RNA (505 nucleotides) under uncultured Blastopirellula sp. RNAcentral describes it as "bacterial SSU rRNA". It matches the Rfam family "Bacterial small subunit ribosomal RNA", at positions 28 to 565 of the family's 1533-position model. The record is from RNAcentral. Lineage: Bacteria; Pseudomonadati; Planctomycetota; Planctomycetia; Pirellulales; Pirellulaceae.